Molecule: transfer RNA, 58 nt
Filed under: Urocitellus parryii (Arctic ground squirrel)
Lineage: Eukaryota; Metazoa; Chordata; Mammalia; Rodentia; Sciuridae
Also listed under: 1 other name
Description: Spermophilus parryii (Arctic ground squirrel) tRNA
Rfam family: tRNA
About the family: Transfer RNA (tRNA) molecules are approximately 80 nucleotides in length. Their secondary structure includes four short double-helical elements and three loops (D, anti-codon, and T loops). Further hydrogen bonds mediate the characteristic L-shaped molecular structure. tRNAs have two regions of fundamental functional importance: the anti-codon, which is responsible for specific mRNA codon recognition, and the 3' end, to which the tRNAs corresponding amino acid is attached (by aminoacyl-tRNA synthetases). tRNAs cope with the degeneracy of the genetic code in two manners: having more than one tRNA (with a specific anti-codon) for a particular amino acid; and 'wobble' base-pairing, i.e. permitting non-standard base-pairing at the 3rd anti-codon position.
Source: Rfam by way of RNAcentral
UAGCUCAGUUGGUAGAGUGCUUGCCUUGCAUGCACAAAGCCCUGGGUUAAAUUCCCAG